UUCCGGUUGAUCCUGCCGGAGGUCACUGCUAUUGGGAUUCGACUAAGCCAUGCGAGUCGCGAGGGUUCGGCCCUCGGCUGACGGCUCAGUAACACGCGGAUAAUCUGCCCUUAGGUGGAGGAUAACCUCGGGAAACUGAGAAUAAGACUCCAUAGAUCUAGGAGGCUGGAAUGCACUUAGAUCAAAAACUUCGGUGCCUAAGGAUGAGUCUGCGGACUAUCAGGUAGUAGUCAGGGUAAUGACCUGACCAGCCUACGACGGAUACGGGUUGUGAGAGCAAUAACCCGGAGAUGAUAUCUGAGACACGAUAUCAGGCCCUACGGGGCGCAGCAGGCGCGAAAACUUCACACCGUGCGAAAGCACGAUGCGGGAAUCCCAAGUGCUGACUCGUAAGAGUCAGCUGUCUUACUGUCUAGAAAACAGAGAGAGUAAGAGCUGGGUAAGACGGGUGCCAGCCGCCGCGGUAAUACCUGCAGCUCAAGUGGUGGCCGCUAUUAUUGGGCCUAAAACGUCCGUAGCCGGUCUAACAAAUGCCUAGGAUAAAUCGUAACGG
This 553-nucleotide ribosomal RNA is filed under the name uncultured archaeon. Its description in RNAcentral is "bacterial SSU rRNA". It matches the Rfam family "Archaeal small subunit ribosomal RNA", at positions 1 to 558 of the family's 1478-position model. The record is from RNAcentral.